Molecule: unclassified non-coding RNA, 174 nt
Filed under: uncultured Xylariaceae
Lineage: Eukaryota; Fungi; Ascomycota; Sordariomycetes; Xylariales; Xylariaceae
Description: sequence contains ITS1
Source: RNAcentral
CAGAGUUUACGAUAAAAACUCCCAAACCCCUUGUGAACCUACUUUUUUUGUUUGUUGCCUCGGCAGGCACUGAGGGUCUCCCGUUAAGGGAGGUCAGCCUGGCCUGCCGGCGGUCUACGACACGAAUUUUGCUUAGCACGUGGUUAUUCUGAUCAGUUAAGACAUAAUAUCUUA